GUAGGGAAUCUUCCACAAUGGACGCAAGUCUGAUGGAGCAACGCCGCGUGAGCGAAGAAGGUCUUCGGAUCGUAAAACUCUGUUGUUAGAGAAGAACACAGGUGAGAGUAACUGUUCACCUGUUGACGGUAUCUAACCAGCAAGUCACGGCUAACUACGUGCCAGCAGCCGCGGUAAUACGUAGGUGGCAAGCGUUAUCCGGAUUUAUUGGGCGUAAAGGGAACGCAGGCGGUUCUUUAAGUCUGAUGUGAAAGCCUUCGGCUUAACCGAAGAUGUGCAUUGGAAACUGGGGAACUUGAGUGCAGAAGAGGAGAGUGGAACUCCAUGUGUAGCGGUGAAAUGCGUAGAUAUAUGGAAGAACACCAGUGGCGAAAGCGGCUCUCUGGUCUGUAACUGACGCUGAGGUUCGAAAGCGUGGGUAGCGAACAGGAUUAGAUACCCUAGUAGUCC
This 450-nucleotide ribosomal RNA is filed under the name uncultured bacterium. Its description in RNAcentral is "bacterial SSU rRNA". It matches the Rfam family "Bacterial small subunit ribosomal RNA", at positions 354 to 796 of the family's 1533-position model. The record is from RNAcentral.